UACGUAGGGUGCGAGCGUUAAUCGGAAUUACUGGGCGUAAAGCGUGCGCAGGCGGUUCGUCGUGUCUGGUGUGAAAGCCCCGGGCUUAACCUGGGAAUGGCAUGGGAAACUGGCGAACUGGAGUGUGGCAGAGGGGGGUGGAAUUCCGCGUGUAGCAGUGAAAUGCGUAGAGAUGCGGAGGAACACCGAUGGCGAAGGCAGCCCCCUGGGCUGGCACUGACGCUCAGGCACGAAAGCGUGGGGAGCAAACAGG
Molecule: ribosomal RNA, 253 nt
Filed under: uncultured prokaryote
Description: partial 16S ribosomal RNA
Rfam family: Bacterial small subunit ribosomal RNA
Source: RNAcentral